GCUCUACCUUGCUUCGUCUUGUUAUCUAUGGCUAUAGAGCUUAAUCUUUGCUGUCGCAUACGCUCCCGACAAUGAAGCGCUUGUAUUGUGUUGCUCAUUUCGACGGCAUAUUUACAAUUUCAUUGCACAAUUAUCAAAAAACAAAAAACAUACGAUUGUAAAUGGACACUUUAUCUUUCAAAUCACACAAUAACGAAAACAAUCAGAGCAUAAACAAAAAAGAUAUAACUAGCUGAAAUUUGUGUAUUUUAGCG
Paramuricea clavata is the source of this 254-nucleotide non-coding RNA. The record is from the annotation of a GenBank genome assembly. NCBI's taxonomy places the organism in Eukaryota, Metazoa, Cnidaria, Anthozoa, Malacalcyonacea, Plexauridae.